This 70-nucleotide transfer RNA is filed under the name Nicotiana sylvestris (wood tobacco). It matches the Rfam family "tRNA". From Rfam's summary of the family: Transfer RNA (tRNA) molecules are approximately 80 nucleotides in length. Their secondary structure includes four short double-helical elements and three loops (D, anti-codon, and T loops). Lineage: Eukaryota; Viridiplantae; Streptophyta; Magnoliopsida; Solanales; Solanaceae. The record is from Rfam by way of RNAcentral.
AGGCAUGGCCAAGUGGUAAGGCAACGGGUUUUGGUCGCUCUAUUCGGAGGUUCGAAUCCUUCCAUCCCUU